ACGGAAAAAACACACACUUCUACUAAGUCACUGUGUAUUAAGGUACAUGUCAACUCUUUAACUGUCGAAUUUCGUUAGUUUCGGGGCUUCGGGAAGGGC
RNAcentral lists this unclassified non-coding RNA (99 nucleotides) under Hydra viridissima (green hydra). RNAcentral describes it as "spliced leader RNA". Lineage: Eukaryota; Metazoa; Cnidaria; Hydrozoa; Anthoathecata; Hydridae. The record is from RNAcentral.